This 392-nucleotide ribosomal RNA is filed under the name uncultured bacterium. Its description in RNAcentral is "partial 16S ribosomal RNA". It matches the Rfam family "Bacterial small subunit ribosomal RNA", at positions 523 to 918 of the family's 1533-position model. The record is from RNAcentral.
ACACGUAGGGGGCGAGCGUUGUUCGGAAUCAUUGGGCGUAAAGGGCGCGCAGGCGGCGAGGCAAGUCCGGUGUGAAAGUGCUCGGCUCAACCGAGUGAUGCGCUGGAAACUGCCCUGCUUGAGUACAGGAGGGGACGGCGGAAUUCCAGGGGGAGGGGUGAAAUCUGUAGAUAUCUGGAAGAACACCGGUGGCGAAGGCGGACGUCUGGCCAUGUACUGACGCUGAGGCGCGAAGGUGCGGGGAGCGAACAGGUUUAGAUACCCUGGUAGUCCGCACAGUAAACGAUGUGCACCAGGUGGCGGGGGGUAGCCCUCGGUACCGAAGCCAACGCAUUAAGUGCACCGCCUGGGGAGUAUGCUCGCAAGGGUGAAACUCAAAUGAAUUGACGGGG